UCCCAGACUCCUACGGGAGGCAGCAGUGAGGAAUAUUGGUCAAUGGGCGAGAGCCUGAACCAGCCAAGUCGCGUGAAGGAUGACGGCCCUACGGGUUGUAAACCUCUUUUGUCAGGGAGCAAAGGCGUCCACGUGUGGACGAGAGGAGAGUACCUGAAGAAAAAGCAUCGGCUAACUCCGUGCCAGCAGCCGCGGUAAUACGGAGGAUGCGAGCGUUAUCCGGAUUUAUUGGGUUUAAAGGGUGCGUAGGCGGAGUGUCAAGUCAGCGGUAAAAUUUCGGGGCUCAGCCCCGUCGUGCCGUUGAAACUGGGGGCCUUGAGUGGGCGAGAAGUAUGCGGAAUGCGUGGUGUAGCGGUGAAAUGCAUAGAUAUCACGCAGAACUCCGAUUGCGAAGGCAGCAUACCGGCGCCCAACUGACGCUGAAGCACGAAAGCGUGGGUAUCGAACAGGAUUAGAUACCCCCGUACAG
This 469-nucleotide ribosomal RNA is filed under the name uncultured bacterium. RNAcentral describes it as "bacterial SSU rRNA". It matches the Rfam family "Bacterial small subunit ribosomal RNA", at positions 329 to 793 of the family's 1533-position model. The record is from RNAcentral.